Molecule: RNA transcript, 1880 nt
Organism: Chenopodium quinoa (quinoa)
Lineage: Eukaryota; Viridiplantae; Streptophyta; Magnoliopsida; Caryophyllales; Amaranthaceae
Gene name: GATA transcription factor 24-like
Exons: 7
Source: RefSeq, a predicted model, not a curated record
UACUUUGAUAAUUAUUUAAAAAAUUCUGUUUCUCUCUCUUCUUUCUCUCUCCUCAAAAAACACAAAUUCCCAUUUUCUCUCUUCCUCACUCUUCACUCCAAGAACCCACUCUCAAAAUUACCCCAAUUUCUCGAAAUUAGGGUUAGGGUUUGUUCCAUACCUGUAUAAUUUCAUCAACAAGGAGCUCCCUUUUCUCCAAUCAUCUCUAUAAUUUGAUGCGAUAUCAAAACCCUAAUUAAUUCAAAUUUCCCCAAAAUGUACGGUCAUGAGCAGCAUAUGAGCGUGUCAUCGUCUUCUCCCAAUCAUUUGCAGGAACCUCAGACUUUGAUUGAUGAAAACGACAUCGUUCAAGGGGUUGAAGACUCCAUUGAUGAUCAUUACCACCGCCAUAAUCAGCAACGAUGUUCUGACGAUGGUUCUGUUCCUUUCGAAGGAGAUUCAAUUUAUGCUGUUGAUAAUUAUGGGAAGAUUGAAGGUUCUGAUCAGCUCACGCUUUCGUUUCGUGGCCAAGUUUAUGUUUUUGAUUCUGUCACUCCUGAUAAGGUUGAAGCCGUUUUGUUGGUGUUAGGAGGGAAUGUGGGGGGAAGCGCACCAUCUUCAGCUUCACAAGGUGCAGAAGUACCGCAAGUAUCACAUAUGAACCAGCCGGAUAUGAUGGUAUUUCCGGGACGCAGUAGUCUACCACAGCGAGAGGCAUCUUUAAAUAGAUUUCGUCAAAAGAGGAAAGAACGCCGCUUUGAUAAGUUAAUUAGGUAUAAUGUUCGGAAAGAAGUGGCACAGAGGCAGCCCCGUAGCAAAGGACAAUUUACAUCCUCAAAGAAGGGGGAUGAAUCUUCUGGCUGUAAUGCCCAAGAUUCAGGUCCUGAUGAGACACAGAUAGAAACAUUCUGUACACAUUGUGGAAUUAGUUCAAAUUCAACUCCAAUGAUGCGACGUGGACCAAAUGGGCCUAGGACUCUCUGUAAUGCAUGUGGACUUGUAUGGUCAAAUAAGGUCAACAUGCUCUUUAUCUAAUUCGUCCAUUUUGUUGCUAAUUAUAUGAUUGCUUGUUUCCUCCUUCUGGUAAUGCUCUGUACAUAAACCUACUUUAAGUAUGCUGCAUGAUGAAUGACUUUUUUAUUUUCAGUGUUCAGUAGAUUGUGAUGGGCUGUUUUAUUUGUGGUUUUCAUUGCUAAUCUAACGUGGUGAAUUGGUUAGAGUUCAGAAUCCUAUGUUCCUUUUGUAGGAAGCAAUCUUCUUCAUUUUCUUCUUGUCAAGCCUUUCAGAAUUGUUGAGUGCUGAGCCCUUUGGCAUUUGUGCAAGUUCUUUUGGGGGAAUAUUCUUCUCUGUUUGUCACUUGCUGUGGGAGUUUUUGGCUUCAUCUCUGUUCUUAGCUCACUUGUUGUACAAAUGUACAUGGUAUACCUUAAUAAAAUUAUUAAUAAUUACAUCAAAAGGACAUUGAUGUGGGUUUUGUCUUUGUACAAGUCAAGAGUCAAGACUACUGGAGGGAAAUAGAAUUGUCCAUGUACUAGUCAACUGGGAAAAAAAAAAAAAGAAUGUAUUACAGAGAGACUAAGAUUGAAUACCAUUGUUACCCUAGAAAUGUAUAAUUAUUUUGUUAGUGAAGUGCAGUGGUCCAUGUGAUAUUCUGUCCUUCAUUCUCAGGAACCAAGAUCUUAACCAAAUGUAUUUGCGGCCAUUGGUGUAAUCAACACCGUGCUUGUGCAGUAGAAAACAAAUUUCAGAUUUGUGGUUCUGCUGCUGUAGUUUGUCUAGGUACUUUGAGGGAUCUUUCAAAGAAACAAGAUCCAUAUAUUAUGCCUAGUGAACUGACUGGUGAAUCCCCGUAUAGAGCAACUGAUAUACUUGGAGAGGCCAAAUAUGUUACUUUUGGAGAA